GGUAAAUGUAUAAGUGCCAAUGAGACUUGUUCAAGUCACAAUGUGUAAAAAAUAAUAAUAGGUAAAAGUCAGGCCUACAACACAGAGGCUUUGCUCUCACCGAACAGCAAGCUCUAAAGUAAAGGGCUCAAAUUUGAAAUGACUAAUGUAAAACUAUUGAAAAAGGAAAACCAGCAGUCUAAUCAAUAUAAAAAACGAGAAACACUAGUGAUCCACAUAAACAAAUGCCAACC
This 233-nucleotide long non-coding RNA is filed under the name Mytilus galloprovincialis (Mediterranean mussel). The record is from RNAcentral. Lineage: Eukaryota; Metazoa; Mollusca; Bivalvia; Mytilida; Mytilidae.